GACGAACCGUGCGAACGUUAUUCGGAAUCACUGGGCUUAAAGGGCGCGUAGGCGGGUCAUCAAGUCCGGGGUGAAAUCCCACGGCCCAACCGUGGAAGUGCCUUGGAUACUGGAGACCUCGAGGGGGAUAGGGGCGUGCGGAACUCAGGGUGGAGCGGUGAAAUGCGUAGAUAUCAGGAGGAACACCGAUGGCGAAGGCAGGUCUCUGGGCAUUAACUGACGCUGAGGAGCGAAAGCAUGGGGAGCGAACAGG
This 253-nucleotide ribosomal RNA is filed under the name uncultured bacterium. Its description in RNAcentral is "partial 16S ribosomal RNA". It matches the Rfam family "Bacterial small subunit ribosomal RNA", at positions 524 to 776 of the family's 1533-position model. The record is from RNAcentral.